RNAcentral lists this ribosomal RNA (433 nucleotides) under uncultured bacterium. RNAcentral's name for it is "partial 16S ribosomal RNA". It matches the Rfam family "Bacterial small subunit ribosomal RNA", at positions 29 to 507 of the family's 1533-position model. The record is from RNAcentral.
AACGAACGCUGGCGGCAUGCCUAACACAUGCAAGUCGAACGAGACCUUCGGGUCUAGUGGCGCACGGGUGCGUAACGCGUGGGAACCUGCCCUUAGGUUCGGAAUAACUCCCCGAAAGGGGUGCUAAUACCGGAUAAUGUCUUCGGACCAAAGAUUUAUCGCCUUUGGAUGGGCCCGCGUUGGAUUAGCUAGUUGGUAGGGUAAAAGCCUACCAAGGCGACGAUCCAUAGCUGGUCUGAGAGGAUGAUCAGCCACACUGGGACUGAGACACGGCCCAGACUCCUACGGGAGGCGGGGGGGGGGAUUUUUGGACAAGGGGCAAAGGCCUGAUCCAGCAAUCCCGGGUGGGUGAUGAAGGCCUUGGGGUUGAAAAGCUCUUUUCCCGGGGAUGAUAAUGACAGUCCCGGGAAAAUAACCUCCGGCUACCUCCGUC